This is a non-coding RNA of Zootermopsis nevadensis, 68 nucleotides long. NCBI's taxonomy places the organism in Eukaryota, Metazoa, Arthropoda, Insecta, Blattodea, Termopsidae. The record is from Rfam.
CACGGUGGUCUAGAGGUUAGAACGCUGGCCUUGUAAUCCUGGGGUCUCGGGUUCGAUUCCCGGCGGUG